ACUACCGAUGCCAGGGCCUCAUGCCAGAGAUUCUGAUGGACUUGGAAUGGGGUGGAGCCUGAAGGCUGGCCUAUUCUAAAGGCUCUUCAGGGAUUUUUAAUAUGCAGCUAGGAUUGAAAAUCACUUAUGUAGACAUACAGUUUUUAUGUUUUAACAAACACGUUUAAGGCAAACAAACUACUGGGAUGAUCUUUGGAUGCACCACAGAACUUUUUCAGAAGCAUUUGGGAGUCCCAGUGAUUUCUGCUUCUAAAAGAGUGCUAGUGAAGGAGGGAUUUUGAUUGAGGGCUUAUUUGGCUGCCUUAGUGUUCUCUCCUAACCAGAAGCCUUUCUGUUUUGGAAUCAGGGAGCACGUCUUUUGUGGGCUGCGAAAAGCUCUAGGUGGAAGGGAAGAGCAUCAGGUGGUGAAGCUGAACCAGGAGAGUCUAAAAACCACGUGGCCUCUCAGGCACCCUCGAGUCUAGAGGGAGUUCCCUGACCUCACAUUUGAGAGUGAUUCUAGGGGCCAAUACCUUGAGACCAGAGGCAACAGAAAGAGGAUUGAGUGAAGCAGGAAGCCUGCAAAGCCCUGGAUUCCAAUCCAGCUCUAGCUGCGAGGCGCUGGGCACGGGUCACUGCUCUGCAGCUCUGCUUGCUUGU
RNAcentral lists this long non-coding RNA (639 nucleotides) under Pongo abelii (Sumatran orangutan). Its description in RNAcentral is "lincRNA". Lineage: Eukaryota; Metazoa; Chordata; Mammalia; Primates; Hominidae. The record is from RNAcentral.